Molecule: ribosomal RNA, 252 nt
Filed under: uncultured bacterium
Lineage: Bacteria
Description: partial 16S ribosomal RNA
Rfam family: Bacterial small subunit ribosomal RNA
Source: RNAcentral
UACGUAGGGGGCUAGCGUUGUCCGGAUUUAUUGGGCGUAAAGAGCGUGUAGGCGGCCAGGUAGGUCUGCUGUGAAAACUCGAGGCUCAACCUCGAGACGUCGGCGGAAACCAUCUGGCUAGAGUCCGGAAGAGGAGAGUGGAAUUCCGGUGGAGCGGUGAAAUGCGUAGAUAUCGGAAGGAACGCCGGUGGCGAAAGCGGCGUGCUGGACCUCUUCUGACGCUGAGGCGCGAAAGCCAGGGGAGCAAACGGG